RNAcentral lists this transfer RNA (62 nucleotides) under Hyalella cajasi. Its description in RNAcentral is "tRNA-Pro". Lineage: Eukaryota; Metazoa; Arthropoda; Malacostraca; Amphipoda; Hyalellidae. The record is from RNAcentral.
CAAAUGGUAGUUUAUAUAAAACAAUAGAUUUGGGUUCUAUAAAAAAUUAACGUUUCUUUUGA